ACGGGAGGUCCACAACUAUAGUUGUGGGUUUAUAGCCGGUCUAUAGACCUCGGUACACCUGGUCUCCUCGUGAUCCACUGGCACAGUGCUGGUGGUUUUUGUCAUGGUGCACGGGAGCAAAUUCGAGCGAGCUGAGUUUUACACUGAUUGAUGGUCUAAAAGCUUCCACACAUUCGAUCGGACGACUGACAAGGUUUUCAUGAUUUUCAUGCAACUUGAACACAUUUUGGACAUA
RNAcentral lists this long non-coding RNA (235 nucleotides) under Elaeis guineensis (African oil palm). RNAcentral's name for it is "long non-coding RNA (EGUI_LNC012893)". Lineage: Eukaryota; Viridiplantae; Streptophyta; Magnoliopsida; Arecales; Arecaceae. The record is from RNAcentral.